GACGUAGGGGGCGAGCGUUGUCCGGAUUCAUUGGGCGUAAAGAGCGCGCAGGCGGCUUGGUAAGUCGGAUGUGAAAUCCCGAGGCUCAACCUCGGGUCUGCAUCCGAUACUGCCCGGCUAGAGGUAGGUAGGGGAGAUCGGAAUUCCUGGUGUAGCGGUGAAAUGCGCAGAUAUCAGGAGGAACACCGGUGGCGAAGGCGGAUCUCUGGGCCUUACCUGACGCUGAGGCGCGAAAGCUAGGGGAGCGAACAGG
Molecule: ribosomal RNA, 253 nt
Filed under: uncultured bacterium
Lineage: Bacteria
Description: partial 16S ribosomal RNA
Rfam family: Bacterial small subunit ribosomal RNA
Source: RNAcentral